CCCCUAAACGAAUGGUCCCAGUUCAGAUUGCAGGCUGCAACCCGCCUGCAUGAAGUCGGAAUUGCUAGUAAUCGCGGAUCAGCAUGCCGCGGUGAAUACGUUCCCGGGCCUUGUACACACCGCCCGUCACACCAUGGGAGCCGGUAAUACCCGAAGUCAGUAGUCCAACCACGUGAGGACGCUGCCGAAGGUAGGAUUGGCGACUGGGGUGAAGUCGUAACAAGGUAGC
Molecule: ribosomal RNA, 229 nt
Filed under: uncultured bacterium
Lineage: Bacteria
Description: partial 16S ribosomal RNA
Rfam family: Bacterial small subunit ribosomal RNA
Source: RNAcentral